CUGCUGCUGGAUGCGCUUGAUGGUUGCCCCCUUGGGGCCCACCACCAGCCCCACUACGCGGUAG
Molecule: microRNA precursor, 64 nt
Organism: Equus asinus (donkey)
Lineage: Eukaryota; Metazoa; Chordata; Mammalia; Perissodactyla; Equidae
Source: Ensembl